RNAcentral lists this ribosomal RNA (505 nucleotides) under uncultured Glomus. RNAcentral describes it as "SSU rRNA". It matches the Rfam family "Eukaryotic small subunit ribosomal RNA", at positions 569 to 1078 of the family's 1831-position model. Lineage: Eukaryota; Fungi; Glomeromycota; Glomeromycetes; Glomerales; Glomeraceae. The record is from RNAcentral.
AGCAGCCGCGGUAAUUCCAGCUCCAAUAGCGUAUAUUAAAGUUGUUGCAGUUAAAAAGCUCGUAGUUGAAUUUCGGGGUUAGUAAGUUGGUCAUGCCUUCGGUAUGUACUGGCUUUACUGAUUCCUCCUUCUUGACGAACCGUGAUGUCAUUAAUUUGGUGUUGCGGGAAAUCAGGACUGUUACUUUGAAAAAAUUAGAGUGUUUAAAGCAGGCUAACGCUUGAAUACAUUAGCAUGGAAUAAUGAAAUAGGACGUUAAUUCUAUUUUGUUGGUUUCUAGGAUCGACGUAAUGAUUAAUAGGGAUAGUUGGGGGCAUUAGUAUUCAAUUGUCAGAGGUGAAAUUCUUGGAUUUAUUGAAGACUAACUACUGCGAAAGCAUUUGCCAAGGAUGUUUUCAUUAAUCAAGAACGAAAGUUAGGGGAUCGAAGACGAUCAGAUACCGUCGUAGUCUUAACCAUAAACUAUGCCGACUAGGGAUCGGAUGAUGUUAUUUUUAAUGACUCA